CCUACGGGUGGCAGCAGUGGGGAAUAUUGCGCAAUGGGCGAAAGCCUGACGCAGCGACGCCGCGUGAGGGAUGAAGGUCUUCGGAUCGUAAACCUCUGUCAGCAGGGAAGAACGGUCACUGUGCUAAUCAGCAGUGAAUUGACGGUACCUGCAAAGGAAGCACCGGCUAACUCCGUGCCAGCAGCCGCGGUAAUACGGAGGGUGCGAGCGUUAAGCGGAAUUACUGGGCGUAAAGCGCUCGUAGGCGGUAUGUCAAGUCAAGGGUGAAAUCCCCGGGCUCAACGUGGGAACUGCAUUUGAAACUGGCAGACUGGAGUGUGUGAGAGGAUAGUGGAAGUCCAGGUGUAGGAGUGAAAUCCGUAGAUAUCUGGAGGAACAUCAGUGGCGAAGGCGACUAUCUGGCACAUAACUGACGCUGAGGAGCGAAAGCGUGGGUAGCAAACAGGAUUAGAUACCCGUGUAGUC
This 465-nucleotide ribosomal RNA is filed under the name uncultured bacterium. RNAcentral's name for it is "partial 16S ribosomal RNA". It matches the Rfam family "Bacterial small subunit ribosomal RNA", at positions 338 to 795 of the family's 1533-position model. The record is from RNAcentral.